RNAcentral lists this ribosomal RNA (440 nucleotides) under uncultured bacterium. RNAcentral describes it as "partial 16S ribosomal RNA". It matches the Rfam family "Bacterial small subunit ribosomal RNA", at positions 338 to 795 of the family's 1533-position model. The record is from RNAcentral.
CCUACGGGAGACAGCAGUGGGGAAUAUUGCACCAUGGGGGAAACCCUGAUGCAGCGACGCCGCGUGAGUGAAGAAGUAAUUCGUUAUGUAAAGCUCUUUCAGCAGGGAAGAAAAUGACGGUACCUGAGUAAUAAGCCCCGGCUAACUACGUGCCAGCAGCCGCGGUAAUACGUAGGGGGCAAGCGUUAUCCGGAUUUACUGGGUGUAAAGGGAGCGUAGACGGCAGUGCAAGACUGGAGUGAAAGGCGGGGGCUCAACCCCAGAACUGCUCUAGAAACUGUAAGGCUGGAGUGCAGGAGAGGGAGGUGGAAUUCCUGGUGUAGCGGUGAAAGGCGUAGAUAUUAGGAGGAACACCAGUGGCGAAGGCGGCUUACUGGACUGUAACUGACGUUGAGGCUCGAAAGCGUGGGGAGCAAACAGGAUUAGAUACCCGUGUAGUC